AUGGAUGUAGCGCCUAAUCAUCCACCUCAUGAGGAUUCGGAUGACGUAUCCAUCACAAAUUCCGAAGUGGAGAGUGUGAUGAAUCAUCGGUGGCUAAAAGAGACCAUGCAUGCUCCAGUUUUUACCGAGCGAAAAUCCGUUGCCCUCAGCUCCGUGGAUGCAUAUAUCCGAGCUUCCCGGGAUAGACUUGCCGGAGUUUCUCACCUGUUUUCAAAAGAUAUGCAGGUUCUCAAAGAGAAAAACAACACGCUGUCUCAGGAGCUUGAAACGAACCGGACACAGCUAAAUGCCGCCACCACAGAGCUAGAGGAAAUGAAGAAAGUCAUGAUGACCAUUGAUCAAAAUAACAAACUGGAGGAGGAAAAGGAUAAGCAAGCCGAAGAGAUAAAGAGCUUAAAAGAUCAACUAUCGGAUGCACAAAAAGAGAAUAGAAAGCUUAAAAGCGGCAUAUUUGGCGUCAUGAAGAAGAAGUGUCCGGAUUCCGAGGCGACAUUCUAG
Molecule: ribosomal RNA, 498 nt
Filed under: Triticum aestivum (bread wheat)
Lineage: Eukaryota; Viridiplantae; Streptophyta; Magnoliopsida; Poales; Poaceae
Description: partial small subunit ribosomal RNA
Source: RNAcentral